GCAGCAGUGGGGAAUCUUGGACAAUGGGCGCAAGCCUGAUCCAGCCAUGCCGCGUGAGUGAUGAAGGCCUUAGGGUCGUAAAGCUCUUUCGCCAGGGAUGAUAAUGACAGUACCUGGUAAAGAAACCCCGGCUAACUCCGUGCCAGCAGCCGCGGUAAUACGGAGGGGGUUAGCGUUGUUCGGAAUUACUGGGCGUAAAGCGUACGUAGGCGGACCAUUAAGUAAGGGGUGAAAUCCCAGGGCUCAACCCUGGAACUGCCUCUUAAACUGCUGGUCUUGAGUUCGAGAGAGGUGAGUGGAAUUCCGAGUGUAGAGGUGAAAUUCGUAGAUAUUCGGAGGAACACCAGUGGCGAAGGCGGCUCACUGGCUCGAUACUGACGCUGAGGUACGAAAGUGUGGGGAGCAAACAGGAUUAGAUACCCUGGUAGUCCACACCGUAAACGAUGAAUGCCAGUCGUCGGGUAGCAUGCUAUUCGGUGACACACCUAACGGAUUAA
RNAcentral lists this ribosomal RNA (497 nucleotides) under uncultured bacterium. RNAcentral's name for it is "bacterial SSU rRNA". It matches the Rfam family "Bacterial small subunit ribosomal RNA", at positions 348 to 863 of the family's 1533-position model. The record is from RNAcentral.